GGGCGCAUAGCUCAGUUGGUACGAGCGCUGCGUUGACAUCGCAGAGGUCAUAGGUUCGAUCCCUAUUGCGCCCACCA
This 77-nucleotide transfer RNA is filed under the name Chloroflexota bacterium. RNAcentral's name for it is "Chloroflexi bacterium tRNA-Val". It matches the Rfam family "tRNA". From Rfam's summary of the family: Transfer RNA (tRNA) molecules are approximately 80 nucleotides in length. Their secondary structure includes four short double-helical elements and three loops (D, anti-codon, and T loops). The record is from RNAcentral. Lineage: Bacteria; Bacillati; Chloroflexota. RNAcentral also lists the same sequence under 7 other names.